UAGGGAAUCUUCGGCAAUGGACGAAAGUCUGACCGAGCAACGCCGCGUGAGUGAAGAAGGGUUUCGGAACGUAAAACUCUGUUGUUAGAGAAGAACAAGGACGUUAGUAACUGAACGUCCCCUGACGGUAUCUAACCAGAAAGCCACGGCUAACUACGUGCCAGCAGCCGCGGUAAUACGUAGGUGGCAAGCGUUGUCCGGAUUUAUUGGGCGUAAAGCGAGCGCAGGCGGUUUCUUAAGUCUGAUGUGAAAGCCCCCGGCUCAACCGGGGAGGGUCAUUGGGAACUGGGAGACUUGAGUGGAGAAGAGGAGAGUGGAAUUCCAUGUGUAGCGGUGAGAUGCGACAUUAUAUGGAGGAACACCAGUGGCGAAGGCGGCUCUCUGGUCUGGAACUGACGCUGAGGCUCGCAAGCGUGGGGAGCAAACAGU
RNAcentral lists this ribosomal RNA (429 nucleotides) under Gemmatimonadota bacterium. Its description in RNAcentral is "Gemmatimonadetes bacterium partial 16S ribosomal RNA". It matches the Rfam family "Bacterial small subunit ribosomal RNA", at positions 355 to 776 of the family's 1533-position model. Lineage: Bacteria; Pseudomonadati; Gemmatimonadota. The record is from RNAcentral.